Long non-coding RNA from Cervus elaphus (red deer), 8759 nucleotides. RefSeq lists it as uncharacterized. The transcript is spliced from 3 exons. The record is from RefSeq and is a predicted model, not a curated record. Lineage: Eukaryota; Metazoa; Chordata; Mammalia; Artiodactyla; Cervidae.
UGUUUACUUGUGCUUUAAAUAAAGGAAUCUGAAAAUGUGACUACACAAAUUUGUAUUUGGACAAGAAGGAUCUGUUUAAAUCUUUCUCAAAGUUGCAUUGCAUAAAAUUUAAACCAAAAACAAAAGAAGAAAAAAAAAAAAAACAGAUGAGCUUGGUUUUUUAAAAGGCAAUGUUCUUGUUUUAUCUUUCAGCCCAAGAACUUGCCAGUCAAGAUGAAAAACUUCUUCUAAUGGAAUCCAGCUUUAAGGCUACUCAAGAGCAGCUAACAGCAAAUAGCAGAAACAGUUCGCCAAGAACAGAACAGUAGAAAACCCCAGGCAGAGCCGAAGACAGUGACAGCAGGGCUUAUUGCUUCUGAAGAAGAAAAAAAUGAUUACAAGGGAUCAUCCUGACCCAGGGAUUCAACCUGUGUCUCCUGCACUGGCAGGUGAAUUCUUUAACGAUGAGCUGGAUGAGAUGUUUACAUGGACAAAAAGAUUGAGAAGCAAAAACACAACAAGAAAGUGUAUUUUUGGCCUAGAAAAUGGUAUACAGCCUUCAUGAAUGGAAUUAGUUUUCUUAUAAAAGAGCCCUGAGAAAGCUCCCUUGCCCCUUCUAUCCUGUGAAGACAUAAGAAAAAGGCAGUUGUGUGUGAAGCAAGAAGCAGGCUUUCACAAAGCAUGAAAUCUGCCAGUGACUCCAUCUCUGAUUUCCUAGCCUCUAGAACUCUGAGAAAUAAAUUUCUGCCCUUUAUAAUCCAUUGAGUUUAUGGUGUUUUGUUAUAAUAGCCGAAAGUCACUAAGACAGGUGGAGAGAAAGAAAAGAAAAGAGAGAAAAAGUAGAAUAGCUGAUUAAAAGGAGUGAGGAAGGACUAAGUCCUCAUGCAAUAUCGACUUGAAUUUGACGAUAGAAGAAAGAUAAAGAGGACGUGGACAAGGAAGAUACAAGACUGAAAGUGGGUCAUUGAUGGGGCAAGCAUUCAGAACAUAGAGCAGACAUUUAUGAAGUAUAAAGAUAGACACUUACAAAGGUAUCUUUUACAUCUGAGAAGAUAUGAGUGAAUGAUGGGUACAGAUGUCAGGAAAAUGAGAAUAGCUUUUGAAAUAAAGUAAUCUGACAGAAUGAAUAUAGCAGGGGUUUAGAAGACUGUAAACAGGACUGUAAAAAAUGACUCAAACCAUUGAGAAUUGAGUGGAAAAUGAGAAGACAGCAUAUACUAAUGUGUAUGUGCUUAAGGAAAAUUAGACUCAUAAGAUAUUAAGGGGCAAGGAUUACUGAGCUAAAGUGAAUUUGAAAAUACCAAAUUAGCUUAUUCAACAAUUAUUUCCUUAGAUCCGGCUUUGCAGCUAACACUGAUCCUAUGUUUAAACGACAACAAAAUAACUAAAUCCUUGCCCUCAAAAAGGUUACAUUCUAGCAGGGAGUCAGAUAACAAAAGAAGAAAAAAAUUGUUCAACAAAAUUAUACAAUGAAGCCUGUAUCUUUCUUGGGUUUUAUAAUAUAUAUAUAUAUAUAUUUAUUUAUUUUAUAAAUAAAUAUGUGUAUAUAUACACUUUUUAAGAUUAUUUUCCACAUAGGUUAUUACAUAGUAUUGAAUAUAGUUCCCUGUGCUAUACAGUAGGUCCUUAUGUAUAAAUUUUCUUUGUUAUAUUAAAAAAGACUUUGUUAUUAGAGAUGAGAAAGUGCUUGAAUGGCUUAACAUCCUCCAGUUCUGGGAGUAUUUUUUCCUCAGAAAUUCAUCUCUUUGGGUUUUAUGAUUUGCAUUCCUUCUGAAGACUAGAAAAGAGAAUAUUUUAAUAUUUCUUUAUAAUAAAAGCCAUGAAAACUUUAUGACAAUGAUUGACAUAGCAAUACAAUACAUACUCAAAUCACAUUUUCACUUUUAUUUGGAAACAUCUUAUAUUUUUUUAUUCUCUUUUAAUUUUGAUGCAACUCUAAAAUCUAAAUUUCUCUUCUUUUCACCAUCCUCUUUACUGUCGAUCUCAUGGAUUCACUUACAGAGAUGAAUCUAAACUGUGAGAACCUCUGGACUAUAGCACAGAAGUAUUAAGGAUUCUCUCUCCCCCGUGCUUCUUCUGCUCCCCAUGAAGUUAAUGUAAUUUUCAUGUUAGAAUUAUUCUAUUUUUAUCAUUGUUGGCACUGAAUCUCUUUACUCUCCUGGAAGCCUGAGCUGUCUUCUCCACAGUCCGUUCAUAAAACACUUGAUCAAAGAUGGAUUCAAACUAGUGGUGACUGCUCUUUGUCUGGAUUAUUCUUGAUUUGGAUUAAGACAACAGAUAAACCAAGGCUAACUAGAUAUUUCAAGAGAGCACGGAAGAAUCUACUCAUUAAGCAAUUAAUUUAAUAUCAAAUAAUUUAAUGUCAAAGAAUGACAAAUGAUAAAUAUAGAACUUAGAAAGGGUUUAGACUUUCCUGUCACAGUCAACAGCAAAUGCUUCUAUGACAUUGUUCCUAACCUAUUCACCUAAUUGAGUCGUGCUUUCAGUUGCCAAUAUAUCUAUUGCUUGUGCUUUGUAUGUGGCUCAGUGGUAAAGAAUCUGCCUAAUGCAGGAGACUCUGGAGAUGCAAGUUCAAUCCCUGAGUCAGAAGGUCCCCUGGCAUUUCAUAGGAAAUGGCAACUCACUCUAGUAUUCUUGCCUAGGCAAUCCCAUGAACAGAGAAGCCUGGUGGGUUACAGUCUAUGGGGUCACAAAGAGUCAGACACAACUGAGUGACUAACACCCUGGAAAUGGAGUUCCAUGUAUACUUGGUAGACAUUUAACAGAGCUAAGACUCUAUGAUACUUUGAGGAAAAUUCUGAAUAUUCACUCUCUAGUGAAUUUUAAAUUUCUUAAGGUCUAAAAUGAUGUUCACAAAUAUAUUCUCAAAAUAUAAAAUAUAUAUUGAUGCAUUUGUUUAUGAAGUCCAAGAAAAGAUUUGGAAAGAUGAAAUUAAAGCUCAUUUUUUUUUCUCCAAUCAAAAUAAAUGACAAACGACACAAUAAAAAAACAAAGCACAAAGAUUGUAGGAAGUGUCUAGCUAUGAAAAUCACUACAUUUGUGCAUCUGACUUCAAUAAACUAAUACUUGGCCUAAAAUCCAGUAUGUCUGAUGCUGCAGUUUUACUUGAGAUAAGACACCUGGGGCAAACUUGAAAUAUUGCAAUGGGAAGAAAAACAUAAGGGAGAUUCACCCUGUCCCACUAUGCUAAAAAACCCUGACACAUUUGAGGUUGCAAUGGGAACACAGACUGUUUGCGGAAAGGAUUGUAACUCCACUGGCAAAAUGGACCAAAGGUGAAUUUUAAAGCCACCUCCCCCCGCCAAAUGCUGUCAAAUCAUCAACCAUUGGUAUAUUUUAGAAAACAAGUAGGCAGGGCUUUAUUUUUUUUGAAGUCCAGAUAGCGCUGUGCUGUCAUUAUGACUUAACAAGGCUGAGUUUGUUUGCUUGCGUAAAAGACUUUUCAGGAAAAUUUGCUCAUAUUUUCAAGUUACGCACUUGAAUAAAUAUACAUUGCUUUGCCUAGAUUUAUUUUCCUCCUAACAAAUUAGUCAGGCUUUCUGGUCUAAUGUCUUAUUGUAAACAACAUUUUUUUUUUUCUUUUAAACAAAGAGGAAUUUGUGAAACCUUGCCCCUGCCUCCAUAGGAAUGAAUUGAUUAUGAGGACCCCUCCUCUGCUCUCUCAUCUUCAAGAUGCUUUGUGCUGAGGGAGCAUUGAAGUUAGCUUCUGUCACAAGUGAAGAUACUUUAGGAGAGUACUACUUUCUAUGGAAUAGCUUUUAUUUUUUUUUCCUGAUGAAUCUGGAAGUCUCACUCUAAUAAAAAUUAUUUACUUAUUUAUGGCCGAACUGGGUCUAAUUGCUGCAGGCGGGCUUUCCCUUCCGUGGUAAGCAGGCGCUGCUCUUCCUUGUCACGCACAGGUUCUCAUUGCGGGGGCUUCUCUCCUUGCGGAGCAGGGCUCUAGAGUGCGGGCUCAGUAGUUGUGGCACACACAUUUCGUUGCUCCGCAUCAUGUGGGAUCUUCCCGGAUGACGGAUCAAAUCUGCUUUGGCAGGGGGAUUCUUAACCAGUGUACCACCAGAGAAGUCCUCUUCCCCGCUUUAAACAUUUUCGUGGAAGUAUAGUUGAUUUACAAUGCUGUGUUCUUUUCGGGUGCAUAGCAAAGUGAAUCAGUUAUAUACAUACGUAUAUCGACUCGUUUUUAGAUUCUUAGGAUUAUAAUGCAGAGUUGCCUGUAACGCUACUUUUAAAUUCAGCUGUGUGCUUAGACAAGCAAAGGUACCACAGUGCCAUGCCUGUAGUUAAAGAGAACUUAUACUAGCAUUUAGGAAAUAUAUAGGCACACACACACACACAAAAGAACACGAUUGAAAAAAAUAAAGAUGUCAACUUGAACUCGCAGUGUAUUUUAGCCUUAUCUAUAUAUUGGAAUUUUAAUUCAUAUUAUCUCAGUAAAAAAUUAAUACAUAUAUCAAGCAUGGAGGUUUGCAGGAUAUUCCAUCCCAUUUUUUUUAAAAAUUAUAGAGAAAUAGCAAAGAGAACUAGGGAAGGAAAUGGCAACCUACUCCAGUAAUCUUGUCUGAAAAAUUCUGUGGACAAAAGGAGCCUGGUGGGCAGUCCGUGGGCCUGCAAAGAAUCGGACAUGACUGAGAGACUGAAUACACAUACAAAAGUAUAGACAGUUUGUGAGCUUCUCCCUGUCUUGUGGUGGAUCUGAGACCACAGCACUGAUCUUCUGACAAACCUCAAUAAUCUUCUAAUUAGGAGUUCCAUUAAAUGAAAUCUGACCAUUAUAAAAAUGUCUUUACCAAAGGACUCUAUCUCCUUCUCAUAUGGCUUAGACUGAGUCUGAGAGUUGAAGUGUAGUAGACCAGCAGUAAGAAUGUGAAUUACAAAAUAAUUCCUAGCCUCAAGUGAAUAUUUCAAUUAUGAUAUUCUGCACUUGAGGUUAAAGUAAAUUUUUGCUUAUGCGAGAAAUAAAUUCCACUUAGGUAAAAUGUAGUGUAUUAUUUUUCUUCUUAUAAUUAAUAAAUGACCUUGAGGAAUCAAAAUCACCCAGUAGUAUGGAAGCACUUAUUAAUGACGAUACAUUUAUCCAAAGAAAUAUGUUUUUUUCUGAAAUGAAACCUCUUCAAGUAAGUUGUGUCACAUAGUCAAUCUGCGUCUCCUUCCCCACCUUUAAAAAUAAUAGAUCAUUAAAGUUACACAGUAAUACUCAAAGCUGAACCUGACUGGGCUAAAGAGAAAUGUUGCUUGACACUAGAGAAAGUUUGAGAUGUCUUGCCUCAAAUGUUUUUAGCUGAAUUUGACUGUUGCAGAUAAAGGAACAGAGCCCUCAAUUGCUCAUAGAGGAAGUUGACAUAGGUGAACAAAUACAUUCAUUUCAAUAGUAAUACAAGAGUGAUUCUUCAAGAUUUUUACUGGAAAUAAUUGUAAGCAAUGUGUAUGGUUAAUGCCACGCAAAAUUCACUUUGGUUUAUAAAAAAUAUUUCACAGAAAUAAAACCAACAUUGUAAAGUAAUUAUCCUUCAAUUAAAAAUAAAUUUUAUAAAAACUAAAAAAAUAUUUUAAAUUAAUGUAUUGAAUGAAUUGUUUUUUUUCUUUAAAUACAAUAGAGUGAGACCUCCAAGACUCUGCUCCAAGCAGCAUCUCAUAAUGGAUAAUAGAGUUCAGAUACACCUGAAUUCGAAUCCUUUUAAGCUAUAACCAGUAAUUUGAGCCAAUUACUUUAUUUACUUAUUUAUUACUUAUUUAUUUUGGCCAUGUCCCACAGCACAUCUGGGAUCUUAGUUUUCCAACUGAAACUGCAUCCCAUGCAGUGGAAGCUCAGAAUCUUAACCACUGGACCACUAGGGAAGUUCCUCAAUUACCUUACUUUUAAGACAGUAUUUUCAGCUUUAACUUAGAGAUAAUAAUAUUUUCCUCAUAGGGAUGUUACAAGAAAAUAGACAAUUAUAUAGAGGGCAUGCACAGUGCCUGACAUAGUCAUGAUUCUCUAUUACUGGUAGACAUUAUCAAACUAGAAAUAAAGGUUCUUUUUCAUAAGAUACAACAUGUUAUACAUUUUCUAACAGCAAAACUCCACCAUUAACCUCUGCAUGGAGCCAUGAUGGAUACAAGAUUAAACAGAUUAAUGUAUUUAGAGGAUAUUGCCCUUACUUAAAUGGAUAUAAAAUAGCCUUUGGCAACCCCUAAAUAAGGGUUUUUUGGUUAUUGACUAGUAUCAGCUCUCAAGAAAACGAAGGCUUUUCCUCCACAACUCAGCAGCAUCAUAUUUGCAAUAUUAUUAACCUCAUUAGAGAAAAGAAAAAUCUGGUUCUCUUAGAAUUGUCUAGAACUAUUCUCUUUAAACUUGCAGUCUCUUAAAUUUAGUAUUUUGCUAACUAUUUUAGAUAUGGUUUUAACAUAGCCCCUGUAAAGAAGAAAGAGAUUGAUUAAUUUGCUGCUGACAAGAGUUCACAUUCUUUUUGUUUUUCUCAGAGAAUGCAUCUGCUUCCUAUUCGGAACAUGGUUCCACUUUUACAACCUAAUUGCGCUAGUCUACACCGCUGUGCUAUUUUCUGAGUCUGAGCCUAUGUUUUAGGCCAAUCAUCACAGAGUCCGGGAAGUGUAGACUUGGAAAUUGAAGGUUGCACAGAUACAUAGGACUGGAUGUUUAUGCAUAUAUAUACAGAUACAUAGCACUGGCAGCAUAGCUGCUUCAUAUUGUGUAAGCAUGGGGUUAUGCAUUUUAGACUUGUCCUCACAAUUUCCUGAGAUAGGUCAGGAUUAUUGUCUCCAUAUGAUGUGUGAUAUUUGUCAUCUAAUAAUAAGCGGUUGAAUGAUUUAAGCACUUUCUUUGGCUUUAAACUUAAUUUGCUCUUUUCACUGGAUCUUGGGCUAAAUAGUUAGAAUAUUUUGUCCAGAUGUAUAAACAGAGAUUUUUAACUAUUCAGGCUUCAACUUAAGGCUCUAUUAAGUUUAACUACUAAAAUAUCAUGAUGAGUAGUAAUUAAAUUAACAUCCAUGAAACACUAUAGUCAAUGAGAUACAAGUUAAAGCAAACUUUUCAGAUGCAGAAGCUAAAUUCAAAGUAAUAUCCCCUUUUCUCCAGGUUAAAAUCAUGAAUUAAAGUUUUGUUGCAAUAUCAUUUCAUUCUGUAGAAAAUCAUCACAGUGGUAUCAAAUUGAACAAUGUUGUUUAGUCACUAAGUUAUGUCAGACUAUAAUCCUCCAGGCUCCUCUGUCCAUGGGAUUUCCCAGGCAAGAACACUGAAGUGGAUUGCCAUUUCCUUCUCCAGGGGAUCUUCCUGACCCAAGAAUUGAAUCCAUAUCUCCUGCAUUGGCAGGUGGUUUUUUUUUUACCGCUGAGCCACCAGGGAAGCCCAAUUUAACAAUACCCCAUCAUAUAUUGGAACUAGGAGGUUUUGAGAGAUUAAACUUUUGAAAGAAUCUGUAUAUUUGAGCUUGGUACACAUGGUUGAAAUUUUGAGCUUCUGUUUCUUCUCUCUAGACACCAAAUCUUUAAUUAGCAACUUGCCUGAUUGCUUCUUCUGCUUAGCAUAGGAAAACCUUUCUGCAACAUUUAGUAGGAUAGACAAAUCCUCCUUCCCAACCAAAUCAUCAACCUAAAGAUUACAGAAAGCAAAACUGUUCAAGCUUAUCUUGUCAAGUUCUCUCUUGUGAAAUUUGAUCUAAUUUAUUAUAAUUCUAGAUUCACUGAUAAUAUACUAAAUAUGCAAGCACUAAACAUUUAUUAAAAUAAGUUCCUAACAUGUUCUACCAGAAUGGAAACUUUCAUACAUCGGAAAUACAGUCUCAAUGUGAUUAUUUUACAAGUGAACAGAAGCAUUCUGAUAUAUGAUUUAACUCUGUUGAGGUCACUUAACUGAUAAGCUGCAGGUUAGAAUUUUAAAUCUAGGGUCUCUAAUGUCAAGGCCAGCAUUUAUUUGGUUAUACUAUACUUGACUCAUAAACUAUAAGAUUUAAUAGGAUUUUGGAAAAAAUGUAUUUUCUUCAUUAGUCUUGGUCUUCUCCCUGUUCAGCGGUUGAAAACAAUGAUCCAAUUAUUAGUAAGCUCAUCUAAGGGCAGGGACCAGGUCUUCUGCCCCUCUGUAUAUUUUCAGCAUCUAACACAGUGUUCUGCAUGAGUGGAAAUCCAAUAAGUGUUGACUCAGAUAGACAGAAAUCAUUCCUUAAACCAAAUGUAUGCCAAACCUCAGAUUGUUGUCCCCACAGAACAUGUCUAAGUUUCCCAGAAAUAGAAAUACUCAUUCAAUCUAUUGCAAGGUUUCCUGAUUCUGUCUUAUUUCAAUGUGUUAAGUUUCUUUUUUCCUUUUUCACUAUAGCACGAGGAAAUUUUUUGGCAAAUAUGUUGGAUUUCCUCUAAGAAAAACCAACAUUAGCCAUGAAAAUAUUCCUAUGAUCAUGAUACAAUAUCAUAUUUCUUUCUUUAUAUUUGGAGAUUAAGACAAUAUUAAUAAAGCUACAGUAAAACUUGUUACAGCAUGAUAAUCAAACGUGUUUGUUCUUUGUACUAUACUAUUCUAUAUAGUGUGGUUUUCUGUGUACUGUAGUAUACAAAAUGGAAAACUAGAAUACUAAAAUUCACAAUAACUUUUACAAAGAAAAAUCUUGGGCAAUAAUUGACAAGGUAAUCUUUACUUUUACAAAACAUACUCAUGAUAUGAAUCCUCUACAAUAUUAUUUUCAGUUCAGUUCAGUUCAGUCACUCAGUUGUAUCCUACUCUUUGUGACCCCAUGGACUGCAGCACACCAGGUUUCCCUGUCCAUCACCAACUCCUGGAGCCUACUCAAACUCAU